RNAcentral lists this ribosomal RNA (492 nucleotides) under uncultured bacterium. Its description in RNAcentral is "partial 16S ribosomal RNA". It matches the Rfam family "Bacterial small subunit ribosomal RNA", at positions 29 to 507 of the family's 1533-position model. The record is from RNAcentral.
AGUGAACGCUGGCGGUAGGCCUAACACAUGCAAGUCGAACGGCAGCACAGUAAGAGCUUGCUCUUACGGGUGGCGAGUGGCGGACGGGUGAGGAAUACAUCGGAAUCUACUUUUUCGUGGGGGAUAACGUAGGGAAACUUACGCUAAUACCGCAUACGACCUACGGGUGAAAGCAGGGGAUCUUCGGACCUUGCGCGAUUGAAUGAGCCGAUGUCGGAUUAGCUAGUUGGCGGGGUAAAGGCCCAUCAAGGCGACGAUCCGUAGCUGGUCUGAGAGGAUGAUCAGGCACACUGGAACUGAGACACGGUCCAGACUCCUACGGGAGGCAGCAGUGGGGAAUAUUGGACAAUGGGCGCAAGCCUGAUCCAGCCAUACCGCGUGGGUGAAGAAGGCCUUCGGGUUGUAAAGCCCUUUUGUUGGGAAAGAAAAGCAGCAGGUUAAUACCCCGCUGUUCUGACGGUACCCAAAGAAUAAGCACCGGCUAACUUCGUG